AAAGGGUAGAUCUUGGAUCCAAACUGCCACUAUAAAAACCAAUCCCCGCUCUCUCCGCGAACUGGUAGAGUAUUUCUAGACAAUUUUAUUCCUCCUCCUUCAGAUCUCUCUCUCUCUCUCUCUCUCUUACAAGCGCCACAGGAGUGAUCCAAAGAGAUUGCAAAAGAAGAGGAACCAUGGUGAAGAUCUGCUGUAUUGGAGCUGGAUAUGUCGGAGGGCCAACUAUGGCCGUCAUAGCACUUAAGUGCCCAUCCAUUGAGGUGGCUGUAGUUGAUAUCUCUGCUCCUCGAAUUAAUGCCUGGAACAGUGAUCAGCUUCCAAUUUAUGAGCCAGGUCUUGAAGAAGUGGUGAAGGAGUGCCGUGGCAGGAACCUCUUCUUUAGCACAGCUGUGGAGAAACAUGUAUGUGAGGCAGAUAUAGUCUUUGUUUCUGUCAACACUCCCACCAAGACCAGAGGUCUCGGAGCAGGCAAAGCUGCAGAUCUAACAUACUGGGAGAGUGCAGCCCGCAUGAUUGCUGAUGUCUCAAAAUCUGACAAAAUUGUUGUUGAGAAAUCAACAGUUCCAGUCAAGACAGCUGAGGCCAUUGAAAAAAUUCUGACUCACAACAGCAAAGGAAUUAACUUCCAGAUCCUCUCAAAUCCUGAGUUUCUUGCAGAGGGAACUGCAAUUCAGGAUCUUUUCAAGCCCGACAGGGUCCUCAUUGGAGGCCGGGAAACCCCUGGAGGCCAGAAAGCUAUUCAAGUGCUAAAAGAUGUUUAUGCUCAGUGGGUUCCUGAAGAUUGCAUCAUCACCACCAAUUUAUGGUCUGCUGAGCUCUCAAAGCUUGCUGCAAAUGCAUUCCUGGCACAGAGAAUCUCAUCUGUUAAUGCCAUGUCAGCGCUUUGUGAGGCAACUGGAGCAGAUGUUACUCAGGUAUCUUAUGCUGUUGGAAAAGACACAAGAAUUGGUCCCAAGUUCCUCAAUGCUAGUGUUGGAUUUGGUGGCUCUUGCUUCCAGAAGGACAUUCUGAACCUGGUUUAUAUUUGUGAGUGCAAUGGCCUUCCUGAGGUGGCAGAGUACUGGAAGCAAGUUAUCAAGAUAAAUGAUUACCAAAAGAAUCGUUUUGUCAACCGCUUGGUUUCCUCAAUGUUUAAUACAGUUGCAAAUAAGAAAAUUGCUGUCCUAGGUUUUGCUUUUAAGAAAGAUACUGGCGAUACAAGAGAGACCCCAGCUAUUGAUGUCUGCAAGGGGCUUUUGGUGACAAAGCAAGGGUGUGCAUAUAUGACCCACAAGUGACUGAGGAUCAAAUCCAGAGAGACCUUAAUAUGAACAAGUUUGAUUGGGAUCAUCCCUUGCACCUCCAGCCAAUGAGUCCCACCACUGUCAAGCAAGUCAGUGUAGUUUGGGAUGCCUACGAGGCAACCAAGGAUGCCCAUGCUGCAUGCAUUCUCACAGAGUGGGAUGAGUUUAAGACUCUUGAUUACCAGAGGAUAUAUGACAACAUGCAGAAACCAGCUUUUAUCUUUGAUGGUAGGAACAUUGUCAAUGUGGAUAAGAUGAGGGAGAUUGGGUUUAUUGUGUAUUCAAUUGGAAAGCCACUGGAUGCCUGGCUCAAGGACAUGCCUGCUGUUGCUUAAAAUGCAGCCUUUGAUCUUGUGGCUUGUAUCAGGACCAGUGAAGAUAGAAGUGAAGCAGUCAGCGGGAUUCAUUACCAUUUUUUUUUUUUCCAUAGACUCAGUUUCUGAUCUUUACGUUUUUGUUUUGUAGUCAAGAGGACCUUUGGCGUCGCUGUCUCCAUUUUAAGUAAGAAGCUUUGUGUUUACCCUUACAUUGUAUUUUGAUGAUACUACAUUUUUGCCGUUGGCUGUAAGGACCUGAUUUCUUCCUUUUUUGGUUUAUAAAAUGAUUACGAGUUCUAGAAACCCGUGUUAUUAGUGCA
This is a non-coding RNA of Coffea arabica (coffee), 1920 nucleotides long. The record is from RefSeq and is a predicted model, not a curated record. Lineage: Eukaryota; Viridiplantae; Streptophyta; Magnoliopsida; Gentianales; Rubiaceae.